UGAGGAAUCUUGCCCAAUGGGGGAAACCCUGAGGCAGCGACACCGCGUGCGGGAUGAAGGCCUUCGGGUCGUAAACCGCUUUUCUGGGGGACGAGUAAGGACGGUACUCCAGGAAUAAGUCCCGGCUAACUACGUGCCAGCAGCCGCGGUAAAACGUAGGGGGCGAGCGUUAUCCGGAAUCACUGGGCGUAAAGGGCGUCUAGGCGGCAGCCUAAGUCCCGUGUGAAAGCUCCCGGCUCAACUGGGAGAGGGCAUGGGAGACUGGGCAGCUAGAGACUCGGAGGGGGGUGUGGAAUUCCCGGUGGAGUGGUGGAAUGCGUUGAGAUCGGGAGGAACACCAGUAGCGAAGGCGGCACCCUGGCCGAGAUCUGACGCUGAAGCGCGAGAGCGUGGGGAGCGAACGG
Molecule: ribosomal RNA, 404 nt
Filed under: uncultured bacterium
Lineage: Bacteria
Description: bacterial SSU rRNA
Rfam family: Bacterial small subunit ribosomal RNA
Source: RNAcentral